Molecule: long non-coding RNA, 1033 nt
Organism: Cyanistes caeruleus (blue tit)
Lineage: Eukaryota; Metazoa; Chordata; Aves; Passeriformes; Paridae
Source: RefSeq, a predicted model, not a curated record
GGAUGGAAGUUACAAGAGUGAACCAGCAUUUAUCCAAGUUUGGUGGAGAGACCUCUUCUUCAUACUCACCAUCACAAAGCUGAGCCUGAGAUAUUUCAGAAGCUGAACUUGGGGACAGAAGAUCUGAAAGAGCAAAACUGAAGAAUUCCUUAAUGUUUCACCAAAAAUCCUACCUUGUGGAGGAGAGAAUCUCAAAGUAUUGCCUCCUCCCCUAAAGAAGUUCUACAGUCAACUUAAAGAGAACCUCAUAACUGUUGAAUUUUGCUCCUGGUAGAGCUACUAGUUUCUUCUUAAAAUCAUAUUUUUUGAGGUUGAUUCCAGUGGAAGAAAAAUCCUUCUCAAAGUGGAAUAGGCCUGCUGGACACCAAGCUCACUGACAGCUUUGCUUAUUUUAUGGACAUAUUACACCAAGCUAAGACUUUGCCAUCUGUUCUGACACCAAUUGUAAAUGGAGAAAUCCCACACCAACCAAACAAAAAGAACAAAUCACAAGAACAUCAAGGAUAUAAAAGUGAUUUAACUGCCUGUAUAUGCUCCACUAACAAUGCAGCUUGCACUGAAGAUGUUCUUUCUCAUGAUUCCGACACAAAUCACAAGGAAAACAGUUCACACACAACACGGCAGUAAGGUACAAUGUGUUGUGCCCACAGCCUUGAAAAUACUACAGUGGCUAACAGCAAUUUACAGGAACAGCCUUUAAGAAGCAAGCAAGGAAGGAAAAGAAUACAGGAAUUGCUGCUGACCUCCUCAGAGGGCAUACUCCUCAUACUCCUCGAGUGUAUGUAAAUACACUGAAGCAAACAACAACUGCAUGGAAUAUGGGAAUAUGGGAGGUAUGUUGACCUGUGUAUUGGGAAGGGUUAUGGUAGCUACAGGAUUUGCUUCUGAAGGGAAAGCCUUUCCCUAUAGUGCUGGUAGGAAGAUGUGUCUUCAUUUCAUGGCAAAUAAGAGCAAGUUAGCUUAAAAUACCUUGCACAAGGCUGAAUGGAAACAAAUGGAACUUCAGGGUUUAAUUUUAAAAAUUUAUUAUAUU